Molecule: ribosomal RNA, 446 nt
Filed under: uncultured bacterium
Lineage: Bacteria
Description: partial 16S ribosomal RNA
Rfam family: Bacterial small subunit ribosomal RNA
Source: RNAcentral
CCUACGGGCGGCUGCAGUCGAGAAUCAUUCACAAUGGGGGAAACCCUGAUGGUGCGACGCCGCGUGGGGGAAUGAAGGUCUUCGGAUUGUAAACCCCUGUCAUGUGGGAGCAAAUUAAAAAGAUAGUACCACAAGAGGAAGAGACGGCUAACUCUGUGCCAGCAGCCGCGGUAAUACAGAGGUCUCAAGCGUUGUUCGGAAUCACUGGGCGUAAAGCGUGCGUAGGCUGUUUCGUAAGUCGUGUGUGAAAGGCGCGGGCUCAACCCGCGGACGGCACAUGAUACUGCGAGACUAGAGUAAGGGAGGGGGAACCGGAAUUCUCGGUGUAGCAGUGAAAUGCGUAGAUAUCGAGAGGAACACUCGUGGCGAAGGCGGGUUCCUGGACAUUAACUGACGCUGAGGCACGAAGGCCAGGGGAGCGAAAGGGAUUAGAUACCCGAGUAGUC